CGGACGGGUGGGUAAUGUCUGGGAAACUGCCCGAUGGAGGGGGAUAACUACUGGAAACGGUAGCUAAUACCGCAUAACGUCGCAAGACCAAAGAGGGGGACCUUCGGGCCUCUUGCCAUCGGAUGUGCCCAGAUGGGAUUAGCUAGUAGGUGGGGUAACGGCUCACCUAGGCGACGAUCCCUAGCUGGUCUGAGAGGAUGACCAGCCACACUGGAACUGAGACACGGUCCAG
This 232-nucleotide ribosomal RNA is filed under the name uncultured bacterium. RNAcentral describes it as "partial 16S ribosomal RNA". It matches the Rfam family "Bacterial small subunit ribosomal RNA", at positions 99 to 334 of the family's 1533-position model. The record is from RNAcentral.